GGUAAAGCUAUGACGGGCAGGAGUACUCUUACCAUUGGUAUCCCAGAGAGGAGGCUAAAUGCUGAAAGGCCUCUAUACCGGGUCAGGGGAAGCAGGCUCUGAGUUUUUAUGCCGAAAAGACGAAAGUAGGUAUAAACGUGGUGGCACGUUACAGCCAACAGAGGGACCGGCCGCAGCCGGUAACCAGGGUGGUACCGCGAAACAGACCUUUCGUCCCUGGA
This 221-nucleotide non-coding RNA is filed under the name Thermincola sp. Its description in RNAcentral is "T-box sequence". It matches the Rfam family "T-box leader". Rfam says of the family: Uncharged tRNA acts as the effector for transcription antitermination of genes in the T-box leader family. T-boxes are found upstream of many aminoacyl-tRNA synthetase genes and some amino acid biosynthetic genes usually in Gram-positive bacteria. The anticodon of a specific tRNA base pairs to a specifier sequence within the T-box motif, and the NCCA acceptor tail of the tRNA base pairs to a conserved bulge in the T-box antiterminator hairpin. The record is from RNAcentral. Lineage: Bacteria; Bacillati; Bacillota; Clostridia; Eubacteriales; Thermincolaceae.